CCUACGGGUGGCAGCAGUGGGGAAUAUUGCACAAUGGGGGAAACCCUGAUGCAGCAAAGCCGCGUGGGUGAAGAAGUAUUUCGGUAUGUAAAGCCCUAUCAGCAGGGAAGAGAAUGACGGUACCUGACUAAGAAGCCCCGGCUAACUACGUGCCAGCAGCCGCGGUAAUACGUAGGGGGCAAGCGUAAUCCGGAUUUACUGGGCGUAAAGGGAGCGUAGACGGUUGUGCAAGUCUGAAGUGAAAGCCCGGGGCUCAACCGCGGAACGGCUUUGGAAACUGUGUAACUGGAGUGCUGGAGAGGUAAGCGGAAUGCCUGGUGUAGCGGUGAAAUGCGUAGAGAUCGGGAGGAACACCGGCGGCGAAGGCGGCUUACUGGACAGUAACUGACGUUGAGGCUCGAAAGCGUGGGUAGCGAACAGGAUUAGAUACCCCAGUAGUC
RNAcentral lists this ribosomal RNA (440 nucleotides) under uncultured bacterium. Its description in RNAcentral is "partial 16S ribosomal RNA". It matches the Rfam family "Bacterial small subunit ribosomal RNA", at positions 338 to 795 of the family's 1533-position model. The record is from RNAcentral.